Molecule: ribosomal RNA, 382 nt
Filed under: uncultured bacterium
Lineage: Bacteria
Description: bacterial SSU rRNA
Rfam family: Bacterial small subunit ribosomal RNA
Source: RNAcentral
ACGAACGCUGGCGGCGUGCUUCAUACAUGCAAGUCGAGCGGAAAGGCCCUUCGGGGUACUCGAGCGGCGAACGGGUGAGUAACACGUGAGCAACCUGCCCUUGGCUCUGGGAUAACUCCUCGAAAGAGGUGCUAAUACCGGAUACGACUUCCUUCGACAUCGUCGGAAGUGGAAAGUUUUUUCGGCCAAGGAUGGGCUCGCGGCCUAUCAGCUUGUUGGUGAGGGUAACGGCCCACCAAGGCUCGACGGGUAGCCGGCCUGAGAGGGCGACCGGCCACACUGGGACUGAGACACGGCCCAGACUCCGUACGGGGGGCUGCAGUAACGAAUCUUCCGCAAUGUACGCAAGUAUGACGGAGCGACGCCGCGUGUAGGAUGAACG